Molecule: ribosomal RNA, 424 nt
Filed under: uncultured cyanobacterium
Lineage: Bacteria; Bacillati; Cyanobacteriota
Description: bacterial SSU rRNA
Rfam family: Bacterial small subunit ribosomal RNA
Source: RNAcentral
GGGGAAUCUUCCGCAAUGGGCGCAAGCCUGACGGAGCAACGCCGCGUGAGGGAGGAAGGCCUGUGGGUUGUAAACCUCUUUUCUCAAGGAAGAAGUUCUGACGGUACUUUAAGAAUAAGCAUCGGCUAACUCCGUGCCAGCAGCCGCGGUAAUACGGAGGAUGCAAGCGUUAUCCGGAAUCAUUGGGCGUAAAGCGUCCGCAGGUGGCUCAUCAAGUCUGCUGUUAAAGACAGAAGCUUAACUUCUGAACAGCAGUGGAAACUGGUGAGCUAGAGUAUGGUAGGGGUUGAGGGAAUUCCCAGUGUAGCGGUGAAAUGCGUAGAUAUUGGGAAGAACACCAGUGGCGAAGGCGCUCAACUGGGCCAUAACUGACACUCAGGGACGAAAGCUAGGGUAGCGAAAGGGAUUAGAUACCCCAGUAGUC